GAGUGUUGAUUUGGAUAAGGAUGUGGUUUUUGAAACCUUCAGAAGAAUACACAUGCACUGGAAAAUAUAAAUAUUACAAUACGUCUAUUGAUAGCAAAUCAAAACAAGUUAACAUCCAUUGCGAAUGGAUAAAUGAAACUGUGUUUAGUGAAGUAACCAGCAACUCAAUUGUGAUUUUCUGGAAUCUGUCCCCAGGGGAUAAAUGCAAAGGAAUUACAUGGGAAAAAUUUUCAGCCAUUUGUAAAAAAUCUCAUGAUCAAAAUUGCAGAAAAGUAAAUGACACAACUGCGAAAUGCGUAUUUUUCUGAAUUAAGUCGUAUAUCAAUUACACAUGCACACUUUCAGCCGAGGUCAACAAAUCCAUUGGCGUCUUCCCUAUUUAUACCAGAGAUUUUAAUCAAAGAACAAAUUCUUAAAUCCCAGUUUUGAAGACCAUGAUAAUGUCAAAGUGAAGGAAACAUCUCAUAAUUCUUUUAAUGUAAAUUGCAAAAAUUU
Molecule: long non-coding RNA, 495 nt
Organism: Cyprinus carpio (common carp)
Lineage: Eukaryota; Metazoa; Chordata; Actinopteri; Cypriniformes; Cyprinidae
Exons: 4
Source: RefSeq, a predicted model, not a curated record